This 550-nucleotide ribosomal RNA is filed under the name uncultured bacterium. RNAcentral describes it as "bacterial SSU rRNA". It matches the Rfam family "Bacterial small subunit ribosomal RNA", at positions 355 to 896 of the family's 1533-position model. The record is from RNAcentral.
UAGGGAAUCUUCCGCAAUGGACGCAAGUCUGACGGAGCAACGCCGCGUGAGUGAAGAAGGUUUUCGGAUCGUAAAACUCUGUUGUUAGAGAAGAACAAGUGCUAGAGUAACUGUUAGCGCCUUGACGGUAUCUAACCAGAAAGCCACGGCUAACUACGUGCCAGCAGCCGCGGUAAUACGUAGGUGGCAAGCGUUGUCCGGAUUUAUUGGGCGUAAAGCGAGCGCAGGCGGUUCCUUAAGUCUGAUGUGAAAGCCCCCGGCUCAACCGGGGAGGGUCAUUGGAAACUGGGGAACUUGAGUGCAGAAGGGGAGAGUGGAAUUCCAUGUGUAGCGGUGAAAUGCGUAGAUAUAUGGAGGAACACCGGUGGCGAAAGCGGCUCUCUGGUCUGUAACUGACGCUGAGGCUCGAAAGCGUGGGGAGCGAACAGGAUUAGAUACCCUGGUAGUCCACGCCGUAAACGAUGAGUGCUAGGUGUUGGAUCCUUUCCGGGAUUCAGUGCCGCAGCUAACGCAUUAAGCACUCCGCCUGGGGAGUACGACCGCAAGGUUG